Molecule: transfer RNA, 74 nt
Filed under: Actinomycetota bacterium
Lineage: Bacteria; Bacillati; Actinomycetota
Description: tRNA-Trp
Rfam family: tRNA
About the family: Transfer RNA (tRNA) molecules are approximately 80 nucleotides in length. Their secondary structure includes four short double-helical elements and three loops (D, anti-codon, and T loops).
Source: RNAcentral
GGGGCAGUAGCUCAGUUGGUCAGAGCGGUGGUCUCCAAAACCAUAGGUCGGGGGUUCGAAUCCUCCCUGCCCCG